Molecule: ribosomal RNA, 216 nt
Filed under: Glomeromycotina sp.
Lineage: Eukaryota; Fungi; Glomeromycota
Description: partial small subunit ribosomal RNA
Rfam family: Eukaryotic small subunit ribosomal RNA (bases 40-216)
Source: RNAcentral
GGGUCAUUAGGUUGGUCGUGCCACCGGUACGUACUGGUCUCAUUGAUUCCUCCUUCCUGAAGAACCGUAAUGCCAUUAAUUUGGUGUUGCGGGGAAACAGGACUGUUACUUUGGAAAAAUUAGAGUGUUUAAAGCAAGCUAACGCUUGAAUACAUUAGCAUGGAAUAAUGAAAUAGGACGAUCGAUCCUAUUUUGUUGGUUUCUAGGAUUGACGUA